Molecule: ribosomal RNA, 211 nt
Filed under: uncultured bacterium
Lineage: Bacteria
Description: partial 16S ribosomal RNA
Rfam family: Bacterial small subunit ribosomal RNA
Source: RNAcentral
ACCUUUUAUGGGGGACAACAUCGUGAAAACGGUGCUAAUACCGCAUAUUUUGGAUGACAUUGGAAAAAUUCAGCAAAGGUGGCUUCGGCUAUCGCUAGAAGAAUGGCCUGCGUAGCAUUAGCUUGAUGGUGGGGUAAUGGCCUACCAUGGCUACGAUGUUUAACUGGUCUGAGAGGAUGAUCAGUCACACUGGAACUGAGACACGGUCCGG